Molecule: long non-coding RNA, 1228 nt
Organism: Chelonia mydas (Green sea turtle)
Lineage: Eukaryota; Metazoa; Chordata; Testudines; Cheloniidae
Exons: 3
Source: RefSeq, a predicted model, not a curated record
GCCACAAGUACUCCUUUUUGCGAAUACAGACUAACACGGCUGUUACUCUGAAUACUGGGAGGUAGCGGUCGGAGGUGGUAGGGCCUGGGCUGUGGGGGUGGCCAAAGAAUCUGUCAGGAGGAAGGGCUGGAUCAGCUUUUCUCCUGAGGAGAGGAUCUGGGCCAUGGAUCAGUUUGGGAGCCAUUACCGGGCUUGCACCUCCCCAGAGAUCCUCCUGUCCCUGACUGGGAGCCCUGGGAAGAUUGGAGUGUAUCUGAACUAUGAGCGGGACCUGGUGUCAUUUUAUCAUCCUGGUAUGGAGGCCCCAAUCUACACUUUCACCACCUCUUUCACUGGGCAGCUCCACCCUUUCCUCUGGGUCUACUCCCCAAUCACGCUGUGUCCCUGAGAUAUGGCAUUGUGGGGAUAGCACCUCUCACUGGUCAAAGACGUUUUUUGUUCUGUUGUUUUCUGAAAUGGACUAAUUUUUCAUUUUUAAAUAUUUUCCAUUUUUUUUUUAUUCUUCUCAAAACUUGGAAUUUUCCAGAAUGAAUAUUAUCAGUUUUGAAAAUCCUACCAUUUGACUAAGCUGAGGGCUCAAAAUUGGCAAAGCAGAAGAAAUCCUGAUAUUAUGGUGAUGAGUGUGGUGUAAGAAGCUACACAGAAUAGAACAGAUCCCAAUAAACAAUACAUCAUAGGACCCCUCCACCCAAAUAAAAGGUUUAAGUUGAAAAUUUUGUAAUAAUGCAAAAAAAAAAAAAAAACCCCUCAAGAAAAUCCAAAUGUUUUCACAAAAAAAUCUCUUUUUGUAAACCGGCCAAAUUUCCUCAAGAUAUUUUUUGAAUGAAAACUUUUGUUCAGCUCUAAUUAACGCCUGUAAUUGCACAUAAUCAAUGAAUGUUUCCUGAUUCUUAGUACUGUAAUUUAUCAACUGAUCAUCAUUGAUGAGUGGAAGGGGUAAGAACAUGUGUCAAACCCUGUCCCAAAACAUCACAUUGCCCAAACUGGAAAAAAGGCUCCAAGAAAGCAGAUUCCUAACCAGUAACCAUGUUCUGUGAUAUUAUUGGUGAAAGAAAUGGAGUCAGAGGAAUGGAGGGAGCUCCGGUUCUCUGGAUGAGUGUUGAUCAUAGGGUUCACAGCAUCCAGGAAGGCUUAACCUAAAGCCAAAAUGACAGGUAUGUCCUAUACCAGCUAAAUUUAGAGAAAAGGAGUACUUGUGGCACCUUAGAGACGAACAAAUUUAUUUGAG